Molecule: non-coding RNA, 87 nt
Organism: Gossypium hirsutum (cotton)
Lineage: Eukaryota; Viridiplantae; Streptophyta; Magnoliopsida; Malvales; Malvaceae
Source: Rfam
CACGUAAGCGCGAGAUGCUUACGUGAAAGGAAAUCGCAUCCUUGAGGGAGCGAUUUCCUUCCACGUAAGCAUCUCACGCUUACGUGG